RNAcentral lists this ribosomal RNA (492 nucleotides) under uncultured bacterium. RNAcentral describes it as "partial 16S ribosomal RNA". It matches the Rfam family "Bacterial small subunit ribosomal RNA", at positions 29 to 507 of the family's 1533-position model. The record is from RNAcentral.
AGUGAACGCUGGCGGUAGGCCUAACACAUGCAAGUCGAACGGCAGCACAGUAAGAGCUUGCUCUUACGGGUGGCGAGUGGCGGACGGGUGAGGAAUACAUCGGAAUCUACUUUUUCGCGGGGGAUAACGUAGGGAAACUUACGCUAAUACCGCAUACGACCUACGGGUGAAAGCAGGGGAUCUUCGGACCUUGCGCGAUUGAAUGAGCCGAUGUCGGAUUAGCUAGUUGGCGGGGUAAAGGCCCACCAAGGCGACGAUCCGUAGCUGGUCUGAGAGGAUGAUCAGCCACACUGGAACUGAGACACGGUCCAGACUCCUACGGGAGGCAGCAGUGGGGAAUAUUGGACAAUGGGCGCAAGCCUGAUCCAGCCAUACCGCGUGGGUGAAGAAGGCCUUCGGGUUGUAAAGCCCUUUUGUUGGGAAAGAAAAGCGGCAGGUUAAUACCCCGCUGUUCUGACGGUACCCAAAGAAUAAGCACCGGCUAACUUCGUG